Molecule: long non-coding RNA, 541 nt
Organism: Gossypium raimondii (Peruvian cotton)
Lineage: Eukaryota; Viridiplantae; Streptophyta; Magnoliopsida; Malvales; Malvaceae
Exons: 2
Source: RefSeq, a predicted model, not a curated record
UUUUCUUCUAUUUUUUUCUUUCUAUUUUUUCUUCUUUUUUUUUUCCUUUUUCCUUUUUCUUCUUUUUUUGGGCCGAACCUUAGCCUUCUUGCGCCGGUAAAGCUUCCUCCGUUACACGGCGCGGUGGUCGGCGCGCCUCUCUUCUCCUCCUCUAUCUUUUUCUUUCUUCUCUUCUUUCUUUUUGGUUGCUAUUUUUUGGUUGCUGUUUUUGUUUCUUUUUUUUUUUGUGUUUUUGCUUGUUGCUCUUCUUGCUUGUGUAGGGGCGACGGUGGUGGUGCUGUCACGGUGACGGUGCGACGGCGGUGGUUGCGAGAGCGCGACGGUGGUGGUAGGGGAGCAUCAUUGGCCUAGGGAGGCUGCUGGAGUAGCUGGAGGUGGGUGGAGCACGCUUGGCUGCCGACUGGCAGAUUUGACAUGUCCAGGAGGACCAAAUUGUAAAGGGUGUAAAGUUUUCAGGGUAAAAAUGUAAUUUUUAAAAAAUGGGGCUAAAAUGUAAUUUUUAGAAAUUUUAAGGGUCCGAAUGUAAUUUACAUUUUUUGUA